Molecule: transfer RNA, 85 nt
Filed under: Gillisella vitis
Lineage: Bacteria; Pseudomonadati; Pseudomonadota; Alphaproteobacteria; Hyphomicrobiales; Rhizobiaceae
Also listed under: 6 other names
Description: Agrobacterium vitis (Allorhizobium vitis) tRNA-Leu
Rfam family: tRNA
About the family: Transfer RNA (tRNA) molecules are approximately 80 nucleotides in length.
Source: RNAcentral
GCGGACGUGGCGAAACUGGUAGACGCAAGGGACUUAAAAUCCCUCGGAGCAAUCUGUACGGGUUCGACCCCCGUCGUCCGCACCA